This is a long non-coding RNA of Paramisgurnus dabryanus, 423 nucleotides long. RefSeq lists it as uncharacterized. NCBI's taxonomy places the organism in Eukaryota, Metazoa, Chordata, Actinopteri, Cypriniformes, Cobitidae. The record is from RefSeq and is a predicted model, not a curated record.
AGGCAACGUAAACAAGCGCUAUAUUUCUCUAUAAACGAUGGUGUCUGUACUGCCUUACCACUUCAAGCUCGAUCCAGAGAGUUCAGACGGCCGUUACGAUAUAAACGAUCUCCGUCAAUGAACGCGAUUGGAUUUAACUUUUUUAGGUGUCCUUAGCUCUGCCAGAAUGCUAAACGAAGACGAAAAUGUGUUGCAAAGACAUCCAAAAGGUUUUAAGGAGAAUGCAACAUGUUCCAGGGCCUCUUACCUGCGUGAUUCAUCAUCCAGGUUUUGCACAAAUUGUCUAAAUCCCUACACACAGAACAUUUAUUGUACCGACUAUAAGCCUUUGAGGUGCAGGACUAGAAUACGCUUGGAGCUUCCUGAUCAGAUCGGUCACAAUUUUGGCUUUCGACGACCCCUGCACUGAAGAUGGCAUGCAAU